GGGCCCGCACAAGCGGCGGAGCAUGUUGCUUAAUUCGAUGCAACGCGAAGAACCUUACCUAGGCUUGACAUGCACGGAAAUCUCGCAGAGAUGCGGGGUCCGUAAGGGCCGUGCACAGGUGGUGCAUGGUUGUCGUCAGCUCGUGUCGUGAGAUGUUGGGUUAAGUCCCGCAACGAGCGCAACCCUCGUUCCAUGUUGCCAGCACGUGAUGGUGGGGACUCAUGGGAGACUGCCGGGGUCAACUCGGAGGAAGGUGGGGAUGACGUCAAAUCAUCAUGCCCCUUAUGUCUAGGGCUGCAAACAUGCUACAAUGGCCGGUACAAAGGGCUGCGAUACCGCAAGGUGGAGCGAAUCCCAAAAAGCCGGUCUCAGUUCGGAUUGGGGUCUGCAACUCGACCCCAUGAAGUCGGAGUCGCUAGUAAUCGCAGA
This 429-nucleotide ribosomal RNA is filed under the name uncultured Actinomycetes bacterium. RNAcentral's name for it is "bacterial SSU rRNA". It matches the Rfam family "Bacterial small subunit ribosomal RNA", at positions 917 to 1348 of the family's 1533-position model. The record is from RNAcentral. Lineage: Bacteria; Bacillati; Actinomycetota; Actinomycetes.